RNAcentral lists this unclassified non-coding RNA (392 nucleotides) under soil metagenome. RNAcentral describes it as "partial contains 5.8S ribosomal RNA, internal transcribed spacer 2, and large subunit ribosomal RNA". The stretch from base 1 to 122 matches the Rfam family "5.8S ribosomal RNA", at positions 35 to 154 of the family's 154-position model. The record is from RNAcentral.
GAUGAAGAACGUAGCGAAAUGCGAUACUUGGUGUGAAUUGCAGAAUCCCGUGAACCAUCGAGUCUUUGAACGCAAGUUGCGCCCGAAGCCAUUAGGCCGAGGGCACGCCUGCCUGGGCGUCACACGUCGUUGCCCCCCCCAUCUACUCCUUCGGGAUUGCGGGGGGCGGAUGAUGGCCUCCCGUGCGCCUCGCCGCGCGGUUGGCCUAAAUGCCAAGUCCUCGGCGACGCACGCCACGACAAUCGGUGGUUGCGAAACCUCGGUUGCCUGUCGUGUGCGGUCGUCGCGCAUCGAGGGCUCGAAAAAAUUGCCGGGCUUCGGCUCGACUUUCAACGCGACCCCAGGUCAGGCGGGGUUACCCGCUGAAUUUAAGCAUAUCAAUAAGCGGAGGA